GGUUAAGCGACUAAGCGUACACGGUGGAUGCCCUGGCAGUCAGAGGCGAUGAAGGACGUGCUAAUCUGCGAUAAGCGUCGGUAAGGUGAUAUGAACCGUUAUAACCGGCGAUUUCCGAAUGGGGAAACCCAGUGUGAUUCGUCACACUAUCAUUAACUGAAUCCAUAGGUUAAUGAGGCGAACCGGGGGAACUGAAACAUCUAAGUACCCCGAGGAAAAGAAAUCAACCGAGAUUCCCCCAGUAGCGGCGAGCGAACGGGGAGCAGCCCAGAGCCUGAAUCAGUGUGUGUGUUAGUGGAAGCGUCUGGAAAGGCGCGCGAUACAGGGUGACAGCCCCGUACACAAAAAUGCACAUGCUGUGAGCUCGAUGAGUAGGGCGGGACACGUGGUAUCCUGUCUGAAUAUGGGGGGACCAUCCUCCAAGGCUAAAUACUCCUGACUGACCGAUAGUGAACCAGUACCGUGAGGGAAAGGCGAAAAGAACCCCGGCGAGGGGAGUGAAAAAGAACCUGAAACCGUGUACGUACAAGCAGUGGGAGCCUCUUUAUGGGGUGACUGCGUACCUUUUGUAUAAUGGGUCAGCGACUUAUAUUCUGUAGCAAGGUUAACCGAAUAGGGGAGCCGAAGGGAAACCGAGUCUUAACUGGGCGUUAAGUUGCAGGGUAUAGACCCGAAACCCGGUGAUCUAGCCAUGGGCAGGUUGAAGGUUGGGUAACACUAACUGGAGGACCGAACCGACUAAUGUUGAAAAAUUAGCGGAUGACUUGUGGCUGGGGGUGAAAGGCCAAUCAAACCGGGAGAUAGCUGGUUCUCCCCGAAAGCUAUUUAGGUAGCGCCUCGUGAAUUCAUCUCCGGGGGUAGAGCACUGUUUCGGCAAGGGGGUCAUCCCGACUUACCAACCCGAUGCAAACUGCGAAUACCGGAGAAUGUUAUCACGGGAGACACACGGCGGGUGCUAACGUCCGUCGUGAAGAGGGAAACAACCCAGACCGCCAGCUAAGGUCCCAAAGUCAUGGUUAAGUGGGAAACGAUGUGGGAAGGCCCAGACAGCCAGGAUGUUGGCUUAGAAGCAGCCAUCAUUUAAAGAAAGCGUAAUAGCUCACUGGUCGAGUCGGCCUGCGCGGAAGAUGUAACGGGGCUAAACCAUGCACCGAAGCUGCGGCAGCGACACUAUGUGUUGUUGGGUAGGGGAGCGUUCUGUAAGCCUGCGAAGGUGUACUGUGAGGUAUGCUGGAGGUAUCAGAAGUGCGAAUGCUGACAUAAGUAACGAUA
RNAcentral lists this ribosomal RNA (1272 nucleotides) under Escherichia coli. RNAcentral's name for it is "partial 23S ribosomal RNA". It matches the Rfam family "Bacterial large subunit ribosomal RNA", at positions 1 to 1314 of the family's 2925-position model. The record is from RNAcentral. Lineage: Bacteria; Pseudomonadati; Pseudomonadota; Gammaproteobacteria; Enterobacterales; Enterobacteriaceae.